Molecule: non-coding RNA, 29 nt
Filed under: Mus musculus (house mouse)
Lineage: Eukaryota; Metazoa; Chordata; Mammalia; Rodentia; Muridae
Source: RNAcentral
UGGGAGAUUAGUGUUAAGCUGAAAUCACA